AAGAGAAAAGGUUAUUUCCAAGAGAGUUAUUAAAACUCUAAAAUCCGGGGAAAAAAAGAUACUUGCACGCACAGUGACAGACAUGUGGGUGUUUUGUUUGAAUCUACACACCGCAGGCAGGUUAGUUAUCACUUGAAAGACCCCAAUGAGAGAGCCACACAAGUUCGAUGAUCUUUCUCUCAGGCAACAUGGAGGGGCUUUAAAUUAGCGUAACGGACGUUGGAACUGCUUUUUCUUUGGUGAACUGCGUGCCAGUUGAGAUGCAGAUUGGGUAGACGGACUGUGCACGUUCAUGUGUCAGGAGCCAAGGAGCUUCUGCUUGUUGCAGUGGCACCACAGCCCUAGAGUUUGGGGGCCCUGUGGCCCCCAGGGGUGGGGGUUGUUGCCACCUGGUCCUGAUGGGAUUAGCUGACCUGUGGCUAGUACGUCAUCGCAUCUGUUUCCAGUGGACCUUUGGUACACGGUGCCUGCUGGAUGCCUAGCCUGACAGAAUCUGGGCCUCCCUGAUUUUACCCAGCAGGUUGUAUGGCCAUUCAAUUGUCAGGCUGCUAAUCAGGGCUAUAUUUGCGGCAGAAUUUGGACCAAGCCUUGUUCUGAUGUAGCACGCUCCCUGGCGGUGAGGUCGUGGGGUAGAGACCUAGAGCUCUCAGUUACUGGAGGUGACUGCCAUCUCUAAUAACUAUAAACGGCCAGACUGGCUGUGAUGGUUGAAUUGUGUCCCCUUCAACCCCAAAUUCAAAUAGUGAAGUCCUAAGCCCCAGUACCUCAGACUGUGGCCUGAUUUGAAAGACAGGUCUUUAGAGAGGAGUCAGGUUAGAAUGAGGUCGUUAGGGUGGGUCCCUGUCUGGUAUGACUGGUGUUCUCAUACGAAGAGGCAUUUGGACACAGGCUGGCUAGAGGGAAGAGGAUGCGAGGAAGCACGGGGGAAGAUGGCCAUCUAUAGGCCGAGGAGAGAGGCCUGGCAUGGGUGCUUCCCUCGCAGGCCUCAGAAGGAACCAACCUUGGCAACACCUUGAUCUUGGACGUCCAGCCUCCAGAACUGUGAGACAAUACAUUUCUGUCGUUAAGCCACUCUGGCUGUGGUACGUUGUUAUGGCAAAGCCCUAGCAAACUGAUACACCAGCUUAAGUGCAUUUGUAGCAAGGAGAUAUCUGUCAGCUCUGGUCACCAGGCUGGUGACCCUCCUGUCACCCAGGAAGCGCUCCUCUGCCCUUAACCUCAGUCCUCCCCAGGGAGGUGCCAGAGGAGGUCUGACAGCAGCCUUCACCUUUUGUAACCAAGCAAGCUGGCCUCACAAGGCACAGUGGUCUCCGUUACGGCUAGGUUCCUGAGAGUUCCAGGCUUCCUCGACAUGAGCAAGCUGGGCCACAGGGAGAUGCUGCUUUGCUGCUGAGGAACGUGAUGACCCCCAAACAGAGAGUCUAUGCUCACAGCCAUCAUCAAGGACAAUGGAGAGAUCUGGUGUGGCAGCUCCCAGUCUGUAACUCCAGAGGGUCAACAUUCCUAACCCCCUCCCCUGUGACCCACCGGCCUACAUAACUGCUUCCAGAUUCUGUGCCUCCUUAAGAUGGUUCUUUUGGACAUUAGUCAGCCAUCGUCCCUCUUGCUAGCAAGCUGGAAUAAGAUGCCCUUUCUCUGCCGCCAUCUUGCCUCUUGACGAUUGGCUUUUAUCUCACGGUGAGCAGACCGUGCCCUUUGUGCGGUAACAAAUAUUUGAAAAUCUCUUGUCACAAUAUCCCAGGCAGCUAUUGAAAAAUUUUUGGCCAGAGUCUGAAAUGAUGAGUUUGACCUAUUUAUAAAGUUUCUCUUGAUGGCAGUCCCGAGCAUGGAUUGCAGAAGCCCGGGAAGAUCACUAGGGGUCAGUGUCAAUUACCAAGUUUCGGUCUCUGAGCCCCCAGCCCACCCUCCUAGGCGCUGCUUUGUGCUGCUGAGCUGACAAGCCACGUUUCUGCUGUGCCAGAUGGCUCAGUGUUAGACCCUGGCAAUUGGGUUUGCUAGGAGACGGCAGAAGUAGGGUGACCAACUCGUCCCGGUUUGCCCAGGACGUCCCCAGUUUUAGCACUGAAAGUUCUCCCUCCUGUGAACACCCCCCCCCCCCCCCCGCCCCGACCGGAUGGCUGGUCGCCUUAUGUGGAAGGGACUUGCCUGCUGUUCUCGUGAGCACCACCCCAGCAACACGUCUUCACUGUGGCGGCGGCGGCAGCAGCAGCAGCAGCUGAACCCAGCUUGUAGAUUUCUAACACUCACAGACCCAGUUUCAUCAGAAACAUCAGCGCCAGCCGGCUGGUGCCCCUUCCUCAGCAUCUCUGUUCCUCCAGCUCCAGGAGUGAUGGCUGAUGAGGAUCAAGGCUGCCCCAGGGAGAGAAGCCCAAGGCGUCCUGGGCUACACACCAAUCUAUAUCAUCCUCCGGAAGCACAGGAUGUUUUGACCUAAUUGACCUGAUUCAUAUCCAAAGUUAUAGGACCACCCGAUAGCCAGACCCCACCUGCACUGAUACCAUUUUAACAACUUUUUUACAUGAUCUUUCCUUUGUCCUGUAAAGAAAUAAUUCCCAUAUCUACGCCUUAUAAAUUUAGCCCUACCCUUAACACAUUGCAUCCCUUCCCUGCCCAUGGGUCCUGUCCCCAUGCUACUCUCUGAAUAAAGGACCACUACGACCAGACCUUGAGAGCCCAAAAAUCUUUCUUUCGACUCCUCGGCUCACUGAACCCACAUCAGUAGCUGCUUCCUACAGUUGCUACUUCCAUAGAGCUGUGGUUUUCAGAGGGUGGUCCCCAGACCAGCAGCGUCAGCUGGGAACUUGUUAGAAGUGGAGCAUUCCACGCCCCAUCCCAGACCAGUGGGACUCUUGUGUCAGGCUCAGCAGCCUGUGUUUUAACAAGUGUUCCAGGGAAUUCUGCGAUGUUUAAGAACCGCUGCCUUAGAGUCUCACUUUACCCUUUCAUCAUCUAGAUAACUGUGUACCAAGUUGGCAAUUCCAUAUGUCCUAUAAUUCCACUAUUAUGUUCCAUGUGUUGAAUUCUCUCUGUUAAAGUUACUGGCGUGGUUCUUCUCUCCUCCCUGGACCCCGACGGACCCAGAGCCCACUGCAGUUAUACACGGUAGAGAUGAGGACUCUCCAAGCAGAGCAGUGGGAGUGGGGUGGAGAAGAGCUGACAGACAGAAGCUAUUUGAAAGGUCUUGAUUACUGUUUGGGAGGACGGAGGGGGCCAGGACAGCUCCCGGGUCCCGCCUGGUGGAUUGUGGCGCCCCUUCACAAAAUGCAGGCUCUCUAGGAGGAGGGGUGGCGGGCUGGUGGUGGAGGUGAUCUAUUUGCUUUUGCAUUUGGUGAGGUUCCCACUGAGACACUGAGGGGCAGACAUCCCGUAAGCCAUUGGCUACCGGGUCUUGAGCUGAGGAGAGGGGUCUGCAUAGAGAUGCGGCUUUGGGCACGAUCAGCAUCUAGGUGGCAGCAGAAGCCACGGGCCUGGAUGCGUCUACCCAAGGAGACAAGCAGCACGAGAAGAAGACUCAGAAGGGACAGGCGGUGUGGUGGGAGGAGAGCUGGGAGGGUGAGAAGUUACAGAAAGUGAGGGACAAGGGAGGACCAAGAAGGUGGGUCAAGUGGAGCAGAGAAGCCAAGGAGGUGUAUUAAUCUGGUCUUUUUUUUUUUCUGGAUUCUGAUGCUUUGACACCUGGGGCCUUGCUGAUGCUGCAUGGACUGCCCCUGCCAGGACCCGCCAGUUCCAAAGACAGACCCUUGUGAUGACGCUGGGCCAGCAGAAUGAUCCAGAAUAAUCUCCCCGUCUCAAGAUCCUUAACUUCACCACAUCUGCAAUGUCCCUGUUGCCAGACGCUCCAGGGCACCGUACAGUGUGGUUGAAAGCGUGACCUGGCUGAAGUCAAACCCCGGCUCUGACAUUUACCAGGUGUGCAAAGUAUUGAGCAAAGCAUUUCUCUGUCCCUCAGUUUCUUCUUCCGUAUAGCGGGUUAAUAAGAGUACCCGUCCCCUAGGCUUGCUGUGAAGACGAAAUGAAGUGAUAUGUGUAAAAUGCUAAGCACACGCCUAGCAUGCAGUGCUUGCUCAGCAAAAUGAGCGAGGUCUAAGUGUUGUUUCCAGGAAGGUCUGGACUAAUCAUGGAGAUAAGUUCAAGAAUCUGCUUAAUAAACUGAGAGCCCACUUGAUCCUGAUUCUACGUUUCUGGCACAGAGUCUGAGAGAAUAGCGACAAAUAUAACAGAACUCUCUUCCUGUUUGAAAGUCAGCUGUGCCAUCUCGAGUGCGUUACUUCAUGUCUCUGAGGUUUCAGAGUCUUCAGCUGUGAAAUAGGCUAACCCAGCAGUUACCCCCGGAAUUGUGGCAAAGAUGAAGUGCCACCAAGCAUGUAAAGGAGGCAUUAGACAGCGGGAGCAGGAAUGACCAUCGCUCUUGUUAAGAACAAGCGAAAGUGAGCACAAGGGGAGAGCAAGAGAAGAGCUCAGCGUGCUUGGGGACGAGGUGGCACACCUCGUCAUUCCGCAUCCAGAGUAGACAGUCCUUCUGCCAGGGAGCCCCUUCCUUUUUUUCUGUGUCUGGCUCUUUUUCUCUGUCAAGACUCAGAAUUGGUGGCCUCUCCUCCAGGCAGCCUUCCCUGAUAACUUUCCAGUAGGCAGAAAGGCUGAGGGGAUGCUGAGGGUCCCCUUGGAGCACUCAUCUCCAUGGAGCAGGAACUGAGAAUGGUCUAAGAACUGAUAACCAUGGAGGGGCGGGGACGGGGACCCUAACCCCACGGUUCCCAAAAGACACGUGUCCUGGGGACCUUAAUCCUGGUUCCCCCAGGAUCUGGAGCGGUGGUUCUCAAUGUGUGGGCUGGGGACCCUCUCAGUACUAUUUCUAUAAUAAUAUUAGGACUUCUCUGCACCUUUCACUGUCAUUCUUCCAUGAGCACUCAGUGAUGAUGUCCUUGCUCUGCCGGCUAAUGGAAUGUGUGCGUAGGUAUUCUUGUGUGUAUGUUUUUUAAUAAAAGCUUUAUUAAGAUAUAAUUCACAUUUGCCCGUUUAAAGUGUGCUAUCCAAUGAUUGUUAGCAUAUCCACAGAGUUGUGCAACUAUUACCACAAUCAGUUUUUGAAAAUUUUUAUCACCCCAAAAAGAAAUCCCACGCUCAUUGACAAUUAUUCCCUGUUCCACACCCAAUAGCCCCAUGGCAGCAACUAAUCUACUUUCUUCUCUGUAGAUUUGCUUAUUCUGGACG
This is a non-coding RNA of Equus caballus (horse), 5211 nucleotides long. The record is from RefSeq and is a predicted model, not a curated record. Lineage: Eukaryota; Metazoa; Chordata; Mammalia; Perissodactyla; Equidae.